This is a long non-coding RNA of Pygocentrus nattereri (red-bellied piranha), 1003 nucleotides long. RefSeq lists it as uncharacterized. The transcript has 2 exons. Lineage: Eukaryota; Metazoa; Chordata; Actinopteri; Characiformes; Serrasalmidae. The record is from RefSeq and is a predicted model, not a curated record.
ACCUGCAAAACAAAAAUAUCCUGUGACGCCACAUUUUCAUAGCCAUUAGGUCUUAUUGUUUAGCCUUGCAAUGCCAUUGGACGGUAAAAUGUGUAAAAAGGUCUGACCAUCAAGCCAUGAAGUCAUUCGACUUGGGAACUUUUCUGGAUGCACAUCUCCCUCGUUUACUGAAGUGGAUAUCUCAACACUGAAUUCCAGAAUGUUACGAGCAAGGAAAUCUGUUUACACCGUGAAAGAUGUCAUUGAAGCUGUUCAAACCGGAGAGAGUGAUUUUGAAAUGGAAUCAGACACCAGUGAAUCAAGUGAUGAGGAGCUGGACAAACAGAACCAGGCACCCAUAGAUUGCCCAACUGCUGAUGAUGAGGAAGUUGAGGCAACUAAACCAAGCCAAACAACUUAUCGGACCACACCCCAGGACUGAUAUCGCUGGCUGAAAAAGGAUUUCACUAGUCCAUGUACCAAUUUCUCUGGUCCAGAUGUCACGAGUGGUGCCGUUAACCUCCAUACACCAUUAGAAUACUUCCAAAGGUUUGUGUCAGAAGACAUGAUCCAGGCUCUGACAGAAAACACAAAUGAGUACAGCUUACAAAAGAAUGGCAGAUGGGAGACCAUCUUUAGGCAGGGGGAGCCCUGUAUCACCAGUGACAUCACAGAGCCCUUUGACAUCCAUGACAGUGAUACCACAGAGACCUGUGUCUGCCCUGAGGAGGUUAUGUGUACCACCAGUGGAUGUGCGCAAGGAUAUGGUCGCACAUUUCCCUGUAAAAUCAAAGAGAGGACGCUGCAGACACUCUGAUAAAGGCUACACCAAUACCCUGUGCAGGAAGUGUAGUGUGCGUCUAUGCUUUUCAGAUGAAAGGAACUGCUUUUUGGAGUACCACUGUACAUAAAAACAAGUGGUUAUCACCAUUGCCUCCCACUAAUCUGGGUUCUGUCUGCUUGUCCUGGGUCUGCAACAGUUUUUAUUCUUAUUUUUUUGGUCAAUAAAUUAAGAUUCAUAAAA